UUCCAACGUGUAAUCAUAUUAUCAACAAAUACAGAGAAUUUUAGCUCGUCCUUUGCUUCUAAUUGCUUGCCCUUGUCAGUUGUAUUCAUAACACCUCUCACAUGGUGGCGAAUAUUGGAGGAGAAAAGUAGGCAUCGUGUCUUGCUUUUGGCUUCAUAAGGAAAGCCUCUAGUGAUUCUCCAUUAAGCAGGAUGCUGGGGCUUUGUGUGUAUGUGUGUAUGUGCAUGUAUGUAUGUGGGAGGCUGGACCCCAGUGUCAGGCUGAUACCGGGUUGAGCAACGGCUCCUUGUUGUCUCAGCCAACCCGGUGGUUCCCCUUCCCAUUCCCCCACUUGCAAAGGCAUAGGAAAGCCUUGUCAAGGCUGAGAAAGCUAAUUCCUGAAGCCUGUGGUCUGUGGGUGUUGGCAGUAAUGUUACCCCCCUUUUCUACCCCGGGUCAAAUAGAAACAAAUAUGGGAACUGUGUUUUGCUAGCAAUCUAUCAACAAGGUCUUGUUGUGACCCGUUUAGAAAGUUCACAAGGUACACAGAACUAAAUGUUUUGGUUGGCAGCGAUCAUGUGAAACCUGUUUAUUCUUAGAAUGAUCUGACCCAUAAAAGUCUUGAUAUAAAAGAUUGUGUACAGCAAAAAUAAAGCCGUCACUUGGGCCAUCAGCCCAGGGGACCCUCCUGUUCCCAAACUGGCUUCUCUUCUCUUUUUUUUCUUACAUUCUUCCCCUACCCUCAAGACCCUGAUCUUGGUGUUUGUUGCGCCGGUGGCAACAAGUGGCGCCCGAACAGGGACCUGAGACAACAAGGAGGAAAGCGAAAGCAGAUCGCAUGGCGUCUAAUUCAGUUUUAGUUUUCCAGAAUAUUAUCUUUCUCCAGUUCUACAAUUGCGUGCCUGUGUUCCACCUCCCUACUAUUUGAUUGUUGGAGAUGGGACCAUUACUCCAGUGAAAGAAGAUCGUCAUCAGUUAUACCGGCUGACUUGUCCUGCUUGUGUUUUGACCAAUUGUCUACCAGUAGAUGGACCCUUUAGAAGUGAAAUGAAGGUUUAUCUGCUCUUACAACCUCCCUAUUGGAUGUUGCCAGUAAAUGUUACAGGACCUUGGUAUCCUAAUUAUGGAAUGCAAUUUGCCUUAGAAAUCAGUAAACGGCUGCGCAGGACCAGACGGUUUCUUGGACUCUUGAUUGCUGGACUCAUAGCAGCAGUGACUGUAAUUGCCUCUGCAACUGUAUCUGUAAUAUCCUUACAUGAAAGUGCCCAAACAGCAUCCCAUGUAAAUGAAUUGGCUCAUAAUGUAUCCAAGGUGUUUGCCACUCAAGAGCGAAUAGACCGUAAAUUGGAAGCCCAAUUGGAGGCACUACAAGAAGCAUUGAUAUAUCUUGGUGAUCAGUUUGCUGUUUUGCGUACCAGACUUUCUAUAAUUUGUCAUGAUGCAUAUAAGCAUAUCUGUGUUACCCCUUUAGAGUAUACUAAUAUGACAUGGGGACAAGUGCGUCGUCAUUUACAAGGGGUUUGGCAUGACACUAACACUAGCUUAGACCUCUUACAGCUACAAGAAGAGAUAAAUGCUAUUGCAAGUAGCUCACUCAGUUUCCCUGACCCUGGAGAUCUCGCUGGAACCAUACUGCACCAACUUAAUGGGUUUAAUCCGUUUAAUAUUCUUCAGCAUUCCUUUUGGAUCUUUAUUGGAAUUGUUUCUGUAAUAUCUG
Molecule: RNA transcript, 1696 nt
Organism: Felis catus (domestic cat)
Lineage: Eukaryota; Metazoa; Chordata; Mammalia; Carnivora; Felidae
Gene name: endogenous retrovirus group K member 7 Env polyprotein-like
Exons: 2
Source: RefSeq, a predicted model, not a curated record